RNAcentral lists this long non-coding RNA (218 nucleotides) under Elaeis guineensis (African oil palm). RNAcentral describes it as "long non-coding RNA (EGUI_LNC070238)". Lineage: Eukaryota; Viridiplantae; Streptophyta; Magnoliopsida; Arecales; Arecaceae. The record is from RNAcentral.
UUGGUGUCUAAGGCAAGUUAAUGAGAUGUGGUUAUUUAAUUAUUUCAUUAGCCGAUCUGGCCAAUUUAUUGGUGUCUAAGAAAGAUAAUGGGGGAUCCCCAUUGAUCUCCACUUACCUAAUCAAUUUGAAAGAUUGGGUCUCGAAUUAGGUUGCCUAACGGUUUGAUUUAGCCCAUGCCAGUUAGAUGGGUCAUAUGAUGACUGAUUAGAUGAGAUAC